UCUAUGUGCUAUUCAAGAGGAAGAGUCUCUU
Molecule: non-coding RNA, 31 nt
Filed under: Mus musculus (house mouse)
Lineage: Eukaryota; Metazoa; Chordata; Mammalia; Rodentia; Muridae
Source: RNAcentral